GAAGGGAGCUUGCUCCCGGAUGUUAGCGGCGGACGGGUGAGUAACACGUGGGUAACCUGCCUGUAAGACUGGGAUAACUCCGGGAAACCGGAGCUAAUACCGGAUAGUUCCUUGAACCGCAUGGUUCAAGGAUGAAAGACGGUUUCGGCUGUCACUUACAGAUGGACCCGCGGCGCAUUAGCUAGUUGGUGGGGUAAUGGCUCACCAAGGCGACGAUGCGUAGCCGACCUGAGAGGGUGAUCGGCCACACUGGGACUGAGACACGGCCCAGACUCCUACGGGAGGCAGCAGUAGGGAAUCUUCCGCAAUGGACGAAAGUCUGACGGAGCAACGCCGCGUGAGUGAUGAAGGUUUUCGGAUCGUAAAGCUCUGUUGUUAGGGAAGAACAAGUGCGAGAGUAACUGCUCGCACCUUGACGGUACCUAACCAGAAAGCCACGGCUAACUACGUGCCAGCAGCCGCGGUAAUACGUAGGUGGCAAGCGUUGUCCGGAAUUAUUGGGCGUAAAGGGCUCGCAGGCGGUUUCUUAAGUCUGAUGUGAAAGCCCCCGGCUCAACCGGGGAGGGUCAUUGGAAACUGGGAAACUUGAGUGCAGAAGAGGAGAGUGGAAUUCCACGUGUAGCGGUGAAAUGCGUAGAGAUGUGGAGGAACACCAGUGGCGAAGGCGACUCUCUGGUCUGUAACUGACGCUGAGGAGCGAAAGCGUGGGGGAGCGAACAGGAUUAGAUACCCUGGUAGUCCACGCCGUAAACGAUGAGUGCUAAGUGUUAGGGGGUUUCCGCCCCUUAGUGCUGCAGCUAACGCAUUAAGCACUCCGCCUGGGGAGUACGGUCGCAAGACUGAAACUCAAAGGAAUUGACGGGGGGCCCGCACAAGCG
RNAcentral lists this ribosomal RNA (878 nucleotides) under Bacillus safensis. RNAcentral describes it as "bacterial SSU rRNA". It matches the Rfam family "Bacterial small subunit ribosomal RNA", at positions 71 to 931 of the family's 1533-position model. Lineage: Bacteria; Bacillati; Bacillota; Bacilli; Caryophanales; Bacillaceae. The record is from RNAcentral.